Long non-coding RNA from Anolis carolinensis (green anole), 25594 nucleotides. RefSeq lists it as uncharacterized. The record is from RefSeq and is a predicted model, not a curated record. The transcript is spliced from 5 exons. NCBI's taxonomy places the organism in Eukaryota, Metazoa, Chordata, Lepidosauria, Squamata, Anolidae.
UAUUGGUUAAAAAUUGUUGUGUAGUUUUUAUUUGACGUUAUUUGCAUUUUUUAUUAAUUUUAUUGUAAGUUAUAUUUUUAUUUAUUAUAUUUUAUUAUUUUCUUGUAUUAUUUUUAGUUAUUUUCUGUUAUUAUAGUAUUUUAUUGUAUCAAUAUUUAGUGUUUUUUUAUUAUUUUUUAUUGGGUUGCUUGGAGACCAAGUUGGAGGAGCUUAGCCUUCUAACUGGCAGCAAUUGGAUAAAAGCAAUUAUUCCUCUCCCUCUAAUUAGGACUUUAUUUUUCUUUUCUUUUUGUUGUAUCAACCUAGAGGCAUGGAUGAGGGGUUGUGAUGUCAAUUUUCGAGGUUGUGGGGUGUUUACUUUUGUUGUUUUGUCCGCUGCCGUGAUGCCAUCACUCUUUUAUAUAUAUAGAUAUGGCUAUUCUGCAUGGGGGUCUUGUGGUCCUCAUGAAGCACAUCUUUCCAUGUGGAUAUUUUACACUACCCUAUGGGAAUGAUACCAUCCAAAAGGAUUGCCUAAAUAACGACCUAUUUAUUUCAAGAACCAGGGACUUGCAGUUUCUCAAGUCAUUCCUGACACACACAAAAACAACAGAGAGAUUUUGCCAGGGAAUCUUUUGUCUGGGCUGACGUCAAGCUAACAGGGAAGCCACAUUCCUUCUGCUCCAGCUGUCCAUAGAAACCUCCCGUUCUUGUCUAAAGAUUCUGGACUGAAACUUGACUGCCCUCAAAGGUGUGACCUGAACCUCUACCUAAUUUAUUUCUGUCAUGGUGGAGAUGGCGGUGGUUGUGAAGAAGGCGAAGAGAGGGCAACGAGUUCAAGAUGUGGAGAAUAAGUCAAUGCUCUAUAUUCUGGCAACCUUUCUCUAUCUUUCGUUCUCCCUUUGUCUCAGUGUUAUGGCACAUUUCUAUAAAUAUUUAGUCAAUGCCUUAGACAAAUGCUGACUUAAUGGAUUGUAACCAUUUGGGAAAAAAAGCAUUCCAGCCCUCUCUUAUUUUAUUAAUUUCUAACACCCUAGUCCACCAGGAACCUGAAAACAAUGCGUAUUAAGGUGAAAACAUUUAAAAUUACAACUUGGCACUUUCAAAACAAAGAUUGAAAUGAGUUGUUGUAUGUUUUCCGGCCUGUAUGGCCAUGUUCCAGAAGUACAGUAGAGUCUCACUUAUCCAACACUCGCUUAUCCAACAUUCUGGGUUAUCCAACGCAUUUUUGUAGUCAAUGUUUUCAAUAUAUUGUGAUAUUUUGGUGCUAAAUUCGUAAAUACAGUAAUUAGGGGCCGGGCUGUGGCGCAGCUGGCUAGUAACCAGCUGCUAUAAAUCACUACUGACCGAGAGGUCAUGAGUUCGAAGCCCGGGUCGGGUUAAGCCUCCGACCAUUAAUAGCCCCGGCUUGCUGUUGACCUAUGCAGCCCCGAAGACAGUUGCACCUGUCAAUUAGGGAAAUUUAGGGACGCUUUAUGCGGGAGGCUAAUUUACAACACCAUAAAACUGCCAGCAAAACAUGAGGAAAGGAAUGAGGAAGUACAGCCACUACUGGACGGUGAAGCAACAGCUCCCCCUGUGGCCGGAAUUGUGAAGCUGGAAAAAUGUUAAAAAUGCCUCUGAGUCUGUCUAAUGUAUGUUGUUUGUCUGUUGGCAUUGAAUGUUUGCCAUAUAUGUGUUCAUUGUAAUCCGCCCUGAGUCCCCUUCGGGGUGAGAAGGGCGGAAUAUAAAUACUAUAAAUAAAUAAAUAAAUAAAAUAAUUACUACAUAGUAUUACUGCGUAUUGAACUACUUUUUCUGUCAAAUUUGUUGUAUAACAUGAUGUUUUGGACUUCCAUGGCAAUUAUAUGGUCAACUUGAAGACUAUCAUUGGUCAUCCAUUGAGACUUCUCUUUAAUUACAAAUAGUGUCAUUCUGCAUUCCUCUCUGACAAUGUCCAUGGCUAGAGUUCAUCUGGCUCCAUAGUUUAUAUAUAUAAACUCGAUCCAGGAUGUCAUAAGUCUGUAAGACCUAAGCAGGACGGUUGAGGACAUGUUGACUUGGAGGUCUCUCACUCAUUGAGGUUGCCAUAAGUCAAAGUCUGGCAGCUCAGAAGGUGGCUUGCUGUCAUCCAAAUGGUUCCUCCUGGAAGUUUGGGCCAACAAUUUUUCUCUGACUUCAGGACAUGCUAGAAAUGGUCCCAUUUCUUCCUGGAUGUGAAUAUUGCAGGACCUUCAGUCCUAAGAGCAAUUGCAGCCGACGAUCACUCCAAAGAAAGGAGUCUGGUGAUGAAAGGCACUCUUGGAAAUGCAAAUGCCAAUUAUUUAAUAUUUUAUAAACCUUGAAAUUUUAAUUUCAGCAGAUUUAUUUGUCUGGAGAGCAUUAUGAUAGAAGUCUCUCUCUCACAGUCUCGGGCAGCCCAGGAGAGCCCGUGUGACAAUAUUUCUUUUAUACGAGAAAAUACUUUCCCUAUACUUCACAGAUCUAUCGUCCCUAACGUCUAUAUGGAGGGAGGGAGUAGAAGAAAAUAACAUGGAUUUAUGAGUCUGGACAUGGGGAAGCAUAUUGCCUUGACUUUCAAACUGAUGCAGAGAGGAGCAUAUUGUCUUUGCUGUGCUUCUUGUUUCUGCCGUCAUGCCAAAAUACAAUAAAAUAUAAUCAGCUUCAGCAGAGAAUUCAAUGGCCCCUUGGGUCCUUGAAGGUUACCAUCCAAUGCACAAAAUCCACUGAAUACUUUCAGUUUCGAAGCCUGGUUGCUCAUCUCAUAGCUUUAAAGCAAGAGAGAGAAAUCUCAGAGUGAAAGAACUGCCUAUAAUAGGGUGUAGUUAUUGUUGUUGUUGUGGGGAUGGCGUUUAAUCGAUCGUGUUAAUGAUAUCACAAAUUCAAAUUCCAUGGCAUUUCUAGGGAAUAUCUCUGUGUCUUAGGUACUACCCUGGCAACCCUACUCUUGUUAUAUUGUUUUUCUGGCCACAUAGUUGGGUGCCCUGAUAUAACCUCCCCAGAUGUGGCAUCACCAACAAGUCUCUGUCAGUGAAUGCUUGUGGGUCUGUUGGACAUGUGGACACUGGAUUGGGCUGGAUCUAGUCAGAUUCAGCUGUCAGUGCCAUCAGGGCUGUGGCACAGCUGGCUAGGAACCAGCUGCAAUAAAUCACUACUGACCAAGAGGUCAUGAGUUCGAAGCCCGGGUCAGGUUAAGCUCCCGAGUAUUAAAUAAUCCACCUUGCUGUUUACCUAUGCAGCCCGGAAGACAGUUGCAUCUGUCAAUUAGGAAAUUUAGGUACGCUGUAUGUGGGGAGGCUAAUUUAACUGAUUUACAACACCAUAGAACUGCCAGCAACAUGCCAGAAAGGAAUGAGGAAGUACAGUCACUAGUGGACGGUGAAGUAACAGCUCCCCCUGUGGCCGGAAUUGUGAAGCUGGAAAUGUUAAAUGCCUCUGUGUGUGUCUAUACUGUAUGUUGUUUGUCUGGUGGCAUUGAAUGUUUGCCAUAUAUAUUAUGUUCAUUGUAAUCUUCCCUGAGUCCCCUUCAGGGCCGGCAGAACGUUGGAUAAGCAAAUAUGUUGGAUAAUAAGGAGGGAUUAAGGAAAAACCUAUUAAGCAUCAAAUUAGGUUAUGAUUUUACAAAUUAAGCACCAAAACAUCAUGUUAUACAACAAAUUUGACAGAAAAAGUAGUUCAAUACAAAGUAAUGCUACGUAGUAAUUACUAUAUUUAUGAAUUUAGCACCAAAAUAUCAUGAUGUAUUGAAAACAUUGACUACAAAAAUGCGUUGGAUGAUCCAGAAUGUUGGAUAAGCGAGGCUCUACUGUAUAUCUUUCAUAUUAUAUAAUAGCAGCUCUUUCAUGCCACUUUAACUGAUAUAGUUGCAUGCUAUGAAAUCCCAGGAUUAUUGGUUUGGUGAGGUCCUGGAAUUCUUUACAAGAGAAUUUCAAAUUCUUGGCAGACCUGCUAUUACAAGAUUUUGUAGGUUGGAUUAUGUAGGAUCGCCAUUCAGUUGUGUGACUUCAAGACCCCUCAAGAUGAAUCAAUCACAGAGAUUUCUUUAAAAGGUUGGUGUAGAAGAGUAUUACCAUUUAUGUGUUUUAGAUGAAAUUUUUAUCCUCUAUUGUUGUUUAUAUUGAUAUAUUGUAUUAUUAUUGUAUUAUCUUUUUAUAUUGUGAUUGUAUUGUGUUGCUUAUAUUUUGUUUUUAUGUUGUUUGGGCCACUGCCCCAUGUAGGCCGCCCCGAGUCCCCGUGGGGAGAUGGUGGCGGGAUAUAAAUAAAGUAUUAUUAUUAUUAUUAUUAUUAUUAUUAUUAUUACUUUUGCCUUCUUCUAAGGCUGAGAGAUUGUGACUCACCCAAGGGGAGUUGCCAUGGCCAAAGGGAGUUUCUAACCGUGGUCUCCAGAGUUCCAGUCCAACACUCACACCAUUAUACCACACUGGCUUUUGUGAAAAUGCUAAUACUAGUGCCUUUUGGACAACUUUUCAGGGCCUAUUUGGCUGCCAAAGAUGUUGUGAGUGAAAGAGAUGAGAUGUUACUACGCUUUAAAGUAGCUCUCCAAAGUACUGAAGCCCAUUUCCAGAACGGUACUUUGGAUAGCUCCUCCGAACCUUGGAUUCAAACUCAGGGUGCAGCUACACCAGGCAUGGGCAAACUUUGGUCCUUUUGGACUCCAAAUCCCACAAUUCCUAUAAGCCUAUAGGCUGUUAAGAAUUGUGGGAGCUGGAGUCCAAAAUUUAUUUAUUUAUUUAUUUAUUUACAGUAUUUACCGUGUUUGCCCGAAAAUAAGACACUGUCUUAUAUUCAUUUUUGCUCCCAAAGAUGCUCUAGGUCUUAUUUUCAGGGGAUGUCUUAUUUUUCCAUGAAUAAUAAUAAUAAUAAUUUUAUUUUUGUACCCCGCCACCAGAGGGACUCGGGGCGGCUUACAGAUAUAAAACCAGCAUACAGUAAUAUCAAAUACAAAAACACACAAAUAAAUUUAAAAGGCAUUAAAAAUCACAAUCAUUAUGAAGAAGAAUUCACAUUUAUUGUUGAACAAAAACAUGAACAUUUAUUAUAUACUGUACAGUAGUUGUCAUCAUAAACCAGCAUAACCAGACAAACUGUGAAGAAUUUCAUGUUACUACCAAUAUUUCCAUGUACAACACUUUAUGGUACAUACAUUUACCGAUCCUGCAUGCUCUGGUGUUCUGUUUGGCAGGCAUGCUUCCAAACAAAAACUUUGCUAGGUCUUACUUUCAGGUGAGGCCUUAUGUUUAGCAAUUCAGCAAAAUGUCUACUAGGUCUUAUUUUCUGGGGAAGUCUUAUUUUCGGGGAAACAGGGUAUAUUCCGCCCUUCUCACCCCAAAGGGGACUCAGGGCAGAUCACAUUGCACAUUGCACAUAUAAGGCAAACAUUCAAUGCCACAACAUAGAACAGAGACAGAGACAGACACAGGCACCGGCAGGCCUCGAACUCAUGAUCUCUUGGACAGAGUGAUUUGUUGCAGCUGGCUGCUAACCAGCCUGCACCACAGCCCAGCCUGGAGAGCCGAAGUUUGCACAUGCCUGAGCCACACUGUAGAAUUAAUGUAGUUUGACACUCCUUGAAAUGUCAUUAUUCCCUACUAUGAAUGGAAUGGGAUGAGGCACUAACCUGCUCUGGCAAAGAAGGCUAAAACUACGACUCCCAUGAUUCCAUAGCAAUGAGCCAUUCAAGUGUUACCAAACUGUAUUAACUCUGUAGUGUCGAUGCAUCCUAAGAGCAAAUUAAUUGCCCUCACAACCUCUGCCAUAGAUGUGGGCGAAACGUCAGAAGAGAAUGCUUCUGGAACAUGGCCAUACAUCCUGGAAAACACAUAACAAUCCAAUUGCCCCACCGAUUUAGAAGUUACAGUAGAGUCUCACUUAUCCAACAUAAACGGGCCGGCAGAACGUUGGAUAAGCGAAUAUGUUGGAUAAUAAGGAGGGAUUAAGGAAAAGCCUAUUAAACAUCAAAUUAGGUUAUGAUUUUACCAAUUAAGCACCCAAACAUCAUGUUUUACAACAAAUUUGACAGAAAAAGUAGUUCAAUAUGCAGUUAGGGGCUGGGCUGUGGCGCAGCUGGCUAGUAACCAGUUGCAAUAAAUCACUACUGACCGAGAAGUCAUGAGUUCGAAGCCCGGGUCGGGUUAAGCCUCCGACCAUUAAAAUAGCCCCGGCUUGCUGUUGACCUAUGCAGCCCCGAAAGACAGUUGCAUCUGUCAAGUAGGGAAAAUUUAGGUACGCUUUAUGCGGGAGGCUAAUUUAACUAAUCUACAACACCAUAAAACUGCCAGCAAAACACGAGGAAAAUAAUGAGGAAGAACAGCCACCAGUGGACGGUGAACCAACAGCUCCCCCUAUGGCCGGAAUCGUGAAGCUGGAAAGAUGUUAAAAUGCCUCUGUGUCUGUCUAAACUGUAUGCUGUUUGUCUGUUGGCAUUGAAUGUUUGCCAUAUAUGUGUUCAUUGUAAUUCGCCCUGAGUCCCCUUCGGGGUGAGAAGGGCGGAAUAGAAAUACUGUAAAUAAAUAAAUAAACGGGCUGGCAGAACGUUGGACAAGCGAAUAUGUUGGAUAAUAAGGAGGGAUUAAGGAAAAGCCUUUUAAACAUCAAAUUAGGUUAUGAUUUUACAAAUUAUGCACCAAAACAUCAUCUUAUACAACAAAUUUGACAGAAAAAGUAGUUCAAUACGCAGUAAUGCUAUGUAGCAAUUACUGUAUUUACGAUUUUAGCACCAAAAUAUCACAAUGUAUUGAAAACAUUGACUACAAAAAUGCGUUGGAUAAUCCAGAACGUUGGAUAAGUGAGACUCUACUGUAUUAGUUUUUGCCUUUGACUAUUGCUAGACUUGCAUUUGUUUUUCUAUGGUUUUGGAUGAAUGGACUUCAUACGUUUCUGAACCCCGCAACACUUUUUGACUAAAUAUUGCAUUGAGAUGUAUGUAUGAUGGGAUAACAACAUCAUUUUUUGGUUUUUAGUGCUUUUCCAGGAAUGGGAUGAGAGGACGUACUUUUUGUCUCAUUUCAGCCACUUUCCGCUCUGAACGUAUAAGAUGUUGAAGAGUAAUAUCUCAGAAACGCAUAGUGAUUACUUGAAACCUGAUUUGUGUCUUUCAGCUUUUGAAAGCUGAGGUUCACAUCUUGAGGGAAUGAGGGAAAGCAUUUGAAGUUUUCUUUAUACACAAUAUGCCCCAUAGCAGAUCGACAGUACAGAUCAAGGGAGCACAUCUACUGGAACACUCAAGAGGUUUCUGCUAAAAAGCCACCGAAAUAAUUUAAGAGGAUGGAGUGUCAUUAAUGGACAGACUCGGGAAAGGUGAUGGAUGGAUGGCACGGAUCUGGGCUCCACGUUUUUCGCCUUGGUGGAGCCCCGCAGGAGGAAAGCUGCGCGGAACGGAUUGAACCACACACAGAAACAAAGACAUAUUUUUGGUCUGGCAUGAAUUAUUUGUUCGUUGUCAGACUUUUCAACCGCAUUGAGAGACAGGCACAUUGAGAAGGGAAAAUCCUGAAUGGCAAUCCAUUUGAAAUAUUUUGUAUAUACAGUAGAGUCUCACUUAUCCAAGCCUCUGGAUAAUCCAAGCCAUUUUUGUAGUCAAUGUUUUCAAUAUAUCGUGAUAUUUUGAUGCUAAAUUCGUAAAUACAGUAAUUAGAACAUAACAUUAUUGCAUAUUGAACUACUUCUUCUGUCAAAUUUGUUGUCUAACAUGAUGUUUUGGUGCUUAAUUUGUAAAAUCAUAACCUAAUUUGAUGUUUAAUAGGCUUUUCCUUAAUGCCUCCUUAUUAUCCAACAUAUUCACUUAUCCAACAUUCUGCCAGCCCGUUUAUGUUGGAUAAAUGAGAUUCUACUGUAGUACUAACGGUGCUGGAUUUCUAAAUAUCAUGGUGAUUUAUUUUCUAAUUUAAAGAAGCAGAGUCAGCUAGACUAUGAUUUUGGGUUAAUUGUCUUUCCCCAUUUCUCUCCAGAUACCUUGUUUUCCCGAAAAUAAGACAUCCUCUGAAACUUGGCAGAUGGACUUGCAAGAUUCCUGCCUGUAUCAAAGAAACAUUAAGAAAGUCAAUGUGAAGAUGAAUGUUGACUAUCUGAAGACAACAACUUGAACUUCUCAGGCGGUUGAAGACUUUGGAAACCUGGAUCCCUCUCCACCAGUAUCCUGAAGCACCAGUAGCCAAAUUGGAAGCUUGUGCCUCUCCAGCUUGAUGCAACAAUGGCAUUUUAUAUGCAUCCCCAUGAGAGUUGUGCUGAUCCAUUGGGAGUACCUGCUAAAAAUGGAAGCCUGCAAGAUGUUUCCUCACCCGAUUUUGAGCAGUACUCUUCCAUAUACCAGCUGUUUUGAUAGAUGGAUGGGGAAACAAAGACAGCUGAUAGACCAUGGCCAAGCAAGCUAACAGGAACGUUUUCUUAAAGGUGAGUUAAGCUGGAACUCCAACACCAUGCAUGAGUUACUUUUGGUCAUAUCUAGACUGCAAACAGAAGUUGCAGACAUGAGAUGUCUUAUGGAGAGGUUGUCUCUCAGAUGGCAGUAACAGCCAUUGCCUUCAAUAUCAGUAGGGAAACAUGCAUAUAGGGAUAUGGGCUUUUUGUUACGUGAGAAUGGGCAUCUGAUGAUUGGAAUGAUCUAUCUCUCAAAGGAUGUUGGUUGGUUUGUACUACCUGGCUUAACGGAUCUGGACCAAACCUGGCACACAUUUCCAUCAUUAUCCAACUUAAAAUAAUUGGGAAGUUUGAAAUAAAAAGCACCAAGUUCAGACUCAAAGCAGGGGAAAAGAAAGGGAGCAAAGUGGAUUGGCUGUUGCUAGAUGGCAUUCAUAUACUAUGAAGGUUGAAUGAAAAGUAAUGCCUCCACCUUCAUAACUCCUCAACAGAUGGUAGUCCUGGUCUGCGGCAGGUACUGGCUUGUUCAGUAGACCUUCCUCUACAGUUCCAUUUGGCGGGAAGCCUUAGCAUUGAACAGUUGUGUUGUUAAAGUGUGAAGUAUGGAACCCUGCUCAGACGGUUGGUCAAUGCGAUUUAAGCAACCUGCAGUCAUUGAAUUCUUGACAGCAGAAAGUGUCACCCCAAAGGAGAUUCAUCAGAGAAUGCAAGCUGUUUAUGGUGAUUGUGUUGAUGUGAGUCCUGUACAUCGUUGGGCGAGUAAGUUUAAAGAUGUUCAGGUGGGAACAUCUGACUUGCGUGACAAACAAAGAGUUGGACGUCCUGUGACAGCAACCACCAAGUUUCAUAAGCAAAAGUUUGACAGAUUGAUUCAGGACUAUCGUCUUAUCACUCAAAGAAAAAUUUCCAGCAUAAUCAGCAUUUCACAAGAACAUGUGGGUCACAUUAUUGCUUUGCUUGGCUAUCGGAAGAUCUCUGCACAAUGGGGAUUGUGAGACGCUGGUUGCGGAAACAGAGUGUCGACUUCAUUUGUGACAGCUUCAGAAAACUUGUUCAUCAUUGGCAGAAAUGCAGCCAAUUGUCUGGUGAUUAUGUGGAUAAGUGAAUAGUGGUACAGUCUAAGGAUUAUUUCUGCAUUUGAUUUAUUAAAAUAUUCCCAUCCAAACCCAAGUAACGAAGGUGGAGGCAUUACUUUUCAUUCAACCCUUGUAUUUUGAAACUUCUUGGGCCUAGGAAGAUCCAGUAGCCUCCCCUAUUCACGGAUCCAUCUUUUAAGCAAAUGUCCAAGGAGCAACCCAAGGUGCUGAAUCUAUUUUCGAGUUGGGUUUCAGCAACUUGGAAUCUGCCUAUAAGGUGUAAAGGAAAUUCAAAGCUGAUGGUGAGGCAACGCUAGACUUCAGAAACUGGGGCUGAGUUGAAAGCUUGUACCUUCCCCCUUCCCAAGCAUUCAAGGGACGUUGACAACAUAGUUAUAUAUAAAUAUAUAUAUAAAGGAAAACAUCAAACAAUUCAGUUGACAAACACACUGAGAUGAGUCUGAAGUAGCAGUAAAAGACAUAAACAGGAUGCAAAUACACAAGAACUAUAUAAGCAACCAAUUAAAGAGCAACAAGAGAAAAAGAUUGAAAGAUGCUGAAAAAACUACUUAAAAGACUCAUAAAAGGCUUUGGGUGGGGAGGAAUAACAAGAUCUUUGCAUGAGGAAAACUUACGUGAACAUAUUUGCAAUACACAGUUAUAGCAGCUUAAUGCCACUUUUUAUUGCCACGGCUCAGUUUUGCAAGAAUUGGGAUUGUAGUCUGGUGAGGGAAUUCGGUUUCUCUGCCAGAGCGCUUUAAUCCAUUCCUCUGAUAUCUAUCUAUACCAGAUCGCUGUAGUUGAAAAUUCUAAAUACCUCACCAAACUAGAGAUCCCAAGAUUUCAUAAAGUGCAGCCGUGACAAUUAGAGUGGCUAUUACUGUAUAAUGUGUACGUAAAAAGGUAACUGUGUGGGAGCCUAGGGACCAAUUUUCCGCAAGAAAAAUUUCUUGCAAGAAGUACCCACUUUUCAGCUAAAAAACAGAAAAUGGGAUGUUGGUUGAUAAAAAAGGAGAUUUAAAGAUGGACGUGGAGCUAAUCUAAAAUAAUUUGGCAUAAACUGGGAAGCUCUGGUCCUAGAUGGCUCUAACUGGAGGUCAGCUACGACCAACAGUGCUGUGGACUUUGAAGAAGCACAUAUAAUAAUAAUAAUAAUAAUAAUAAUAAUAAUAAUAAUAAUAAUAAUAAUAAUAAUAAUAAUAAUAAUAAUAAUAAUAAUUUUAUUUUUGUACCCCACCACCAUCUCCCCAGAGGGACUCGGGGCGGCUUACAGAUAUAAAACCAGCAUAUAGUAAUAUCAAAUACAAAAACAGAAAAAUAAAUUUAAAAGGCAUUAAAAAAUCACAAUCAUUAUAAAACACAUGAAAAACACAGCAAUAAAAACAUAAAAUGAGCUGGGCAAAGUGCACUGAGUGGAACUUGUAAACAAGAAAGAAGUUAAGGUGCUAUAUAUAGAGGGCGAAAGGGAGAAAUGUGCUGAGGGAAAGGCACAUCUCCCAAACUUUUGUUGGGGCUGCCUUCCAUCUGGAAAUCAAUAACAAUAAUAAUAAUAAUAAUAAUAAUAAUAAUAAUAAUAAUAACUGGCAGAAUAUGUAAAGCAAAGUGAAGAACCUGCUUUGAUUGAAGUCAAAAAUCAAAAACUCCUCAAAGCACAGCAGACAAAAAACCAGUAAGAAAACUGCACUACAAACUAGAGCUGACAGCUGGCACAACAAAACAUUGCAUGGAAAGUUCCUUGACAAAAUUGAAGGAAAAGCUGAGAAGGAGAAGACCUGGCUGUGGCUCACGAAUGGGACCCUGAAGAAGGAGACAGAAGGCCUGAUCCUUGCAGCCCAGGAGCAAGACAUCAGGACAAAGGCAAUUGAUAAUAAUAAUAAUAAUAAUAAUAAUAAUAAUAAUAAUAAUAAUAAUAAUAAUAAUAAUAGAAGACCUGGCUCUGGCUCACAAAUGGGACCCUGAAGAAGGAGACAGAAGGCCUGAUCCUUGCAGCCCAGGAGCAAGACAUCAGGACAAAGGCAAUUGAUAAUAAUAAUAAUAAUAAUAAUAAUAAUAAUAAUAAUAAUAAUAAUAAUAAUAGAAGACCUGGCUCUGGCUCACAAAUGGGACCCUGAAGAAGGAGACAGAAGGCCUGAUCGCUCUUCUGUUUUGCAAAUGCUUGCAAGGAAGGUUAUGGCGACCGUUUUUUGGGAUAGGAAAGGUGUGCUUCUUGCAAAACCUUAGAAGAGCAAUCCAGAACAAGCGAGGGGGAAAGUUGAGCUGUGGGAAGGGACGCCUGCCUGGUUGAGGACACAAACCAAGCGGCAAAGUUUGGUGGGGAAGGACUUUCCAAACUCUUUUAUCGUUAUGAGAAGUGCCUAGAUUUCAAGGCGGACUAUGUUGAGAAGUGGUAUUUGGGUCUGGCUUUCAACUGCAUAUGGUAAAUGUUUUCUCCUAUACUUUGUUCAUUUUUAAUUCCAAAACGUAAUCUACUUUCUGGAUAGCCCUCGUAUAUCUGUAGAAGUUCCUGGGUGGGGGAAAAAACUCUUGUCUGUUGGAGGCCAGUGUGAAUGUUGUAAUUAAUCACCUUUGUUAUAAUAAUAAUAAUAAUAAUAAUAAUAAUAAUAAUAAUAAUAAUAAUAAUAAUUUAUUUAUAUACUGCCCUAUCUCCCAUAUGGGACUCAGGGUGGUUUCCAGUCAUAAAAACAACACAAACAUUACAUAACAACAUAAUAACACAUUAUUAAGCAAAGUAAAAUACAGUAGAGUCUCACUUAUCCAAGCCUCGCUUAUCCAAGCCUCUGGAUAAUCCAAGCCAUUUUUGUAGUCAAUGUUUUCAAUAUAUCGUGAUAUUUUGGUGCUAAAUUCGUAAAUACAGUAAUUACAACAUAACAUUACUGCGUAUUGAACUACUUUUUCUGUCAAAUUUGUUGUAUAACGUGAAGAUUUGGUGCUUAAUUUGUAAAAUCAUAACCUAAUUUGAUGUUUAAUAGGCUUUUCCUUAAUCCCUCCUUAUUAUCCAAGUUAUUCGCUUAUCCAAGCUUCUGCCGGCACAUUUAGCUUGGAUAAGUGAGACUCUACUGUAAUAUAAUUAUAGCAAUAAAUAACACUUACAUGACCAGAUCAAAGGGUCAUUUAAUGUUAGCAUUAAAUAGCUUUCCAAGCCUCGCAUCCUGGCCUGGGAGAAUCCUUUGUUCAGUGUCGUUAGCUGCCCCUGAUUGACUCCUGUCUGGAAUUACUCAGUUUCACUGUUCACUAAUGGGUUUGCUGCACUUUGGACCAGCCUGCAGGAUUCCAGCUGUGGCUGGCUGGAAUUAGUCCCCACAUUAGAGAAGCUGGUGUCAAACCUCAACAAAUCUUGAGUAACGGCCCAUCCCAGUCUGAGUUAUUGCUUAGGAAAACUGCACAUCCCUGUCCCACCCCUGAUGCGUGCCGUCCUUCAUAGCGAGAGCUGUGCCACGGCAACAUUGCUUUGACAGAUCCCAGGAGGAUUUCAAGGAAGUUCCACACCCACUUCAUUCACACUAAUCGGCUGUUUAACGCAGAAGAGUUCAGUGUUAUGAAUGAACGAGAGCAUGUUUUGGCUUGCCGAUCAGCUCGCAAAUAUAAUGCUCACUUGUCAAAAUGAGCAGAGAGAGUGUGUGUGUGUUUUAAAAAAAGCAGCAAUAUACAUUGGAGUUGAGAUUUGAUUGAAACCAUAUUCUCUGAAAGUGAAAGCUCUCCGGGGUUGGGAGGGAUUGCGCCUGCUGUUCCUUUAAAGCUUCGUCAAAGCUACUCGCAUGUGGAUCUUCUUGGCAAAUGUGGGAGGAAGUGCAACCGCAGCCUGUUCUGGAACAAAUUUGAGGCAGCUGAAUUGAGGUCGCGGUGGGUUUUCAACAUCCCAUUCUCGUGGGUUUCGCUCAUGUAUCGGGGGGAAAGGUUACGGAGCCAUUUGGAGAGGUUGCAUCGGGGUGAGUCAGCUACACAGCGCACUGAUUGUGGGUGCUUUGAGUGAGUUUUUCUACUUCUCAUUAGAAGCUCAAUGGGAAAGAUCUAUGGAGCAAAACUGAAGCACAUAGCUUCCUGUGCAGGUUCCUUGUUCAACUCCCAACACCUUCAAAUGGGUUUAGAAAAGACCCUUGUGGGAAGGUCUAGCAUGGUGUUACAGCUUGUUAAAGGCGAAACUCUUCAUUUAUAUUCUUCUCGAAGGAAGUCAUAACUUACCGUAUAUACUCGAGUAUAAGCCGACCCGAAUAUAACCCGAGGCACCUAAUUUUACCACAAAAAAACUAGGAAAACAUAGACUCCAGUAUAAGCCGAGAGGGGUAAAUUUCAUAAUAAUAAUAAUAAUAAUAAUAAUAAUAAUAAUAAUAAUAAUAAUUUGUGCGGUUUUCUGGCAUUGUAUAUUUCUGCCGCUUCUGUGACUGUUCAUUUGGGUUUUGAUGAUUCCGUAGCCCACUUGUCGAUGGAUGUCCAGAAUCAGCAGCAUCCACCGCGGUCCUUUUUAUCCUGGGCAACGACCGAGCCAGUAUAGACUUCGUUUUGGUUUGAUUCUCCAUAGUGCUAAUGGGUUAGCACUUGGUUCCAUUCCUCAGCUGAGGCCUCUCUAGCUUGGUUGGACCUGCCGGUAGUUACACUACUGCCAGCACAGCCCUCAGCAUCCUCGGAAUGGUUAAGCCCCCCCCCCCCCCACCACCACAUCUCCUCAGCUGCUGGAAGAAAGUUGCACAGACAGACUACAAACAGAGGCACAACUACGUGGCCCAAAUGAUUCAUUGGAACUUAUGUCUCAAGUACCACCUCCCAGCAGCAAAGAACUGGUGGGAUCACAAACCUGCAAAAGUACUGGAAAAUGAACAUGCAAAGAUACUGUGGGACUUCCGAAUCCAGACUGACAAAGUUCUGGAACACAACACACCAGACAUCACAGUUGUGGAAAAGAAAAAGGUUUGGAUCAUUGAUGUCGCCAUCCCAGGUGACAGUCGCAUUGACGAAAAACAACAGGAAAAACUCAGCCACUAUCAGGACCUCAAGAUUGAACUGCAAAGACUGGCAGAAACCAGUGCAGGUGGUCCCGGUGGUGAUCGGCACACUGGGUGCCAUGCCAAAAGAUCUCAGCCAGCAUUUGGAAACAAUAGACAUUGACAAAAUUACGAUCUGCCAACUACAAAAGGCCACCCUGCUGGGAUCUGCACGCAUCAUCCGAAAAUACAUCACACAGUCCUAGACACUUGGGAAGUGUUCGACUUGUGAUUUAGUGAUACGAAAUCCAACAUGUCUAUCUUGUUUGCUGUGUCAUAAAAUAAUAAUAAUAAUAAUAAUAAUAAUAAUAAUAAUAAUAAUAAUAAUAGGUAAUAAUCUUUAUUUUUACAUCCCGCCCCAUCUCCCCAAAGGAACUCGGGGCGGCUCACAACAGGGACAAGCCUGAACGACACAACAUAUUUGACAAAACUUAAAACAUUUCAACGAUACACAAAAUAAUAUAAUGGACAAUACAUUAAAAUACAAGCAGAUAAAAUCAGAGCAAUUAAAAGCGAACCAGAGGGGACAGGUUUCAUAAAGUGCUAUAUCAUGGAAAUGAGUAACAAUGAUAAAGUGCCGUAUGGUUUUAUAAACAUAAAGAAGUAUUCUGAUGAAAUAAAAAUAGAUACCAAUAAAAUAAAAAUAGAUCAAGAUGGCAAAAAUUAUUCAGGAGGAAAAGCACAUAACGUAGAGGAAGCUGCUGCAGUUUGCUUUUCCCUGAUCCUGUUGGGAAGGGAAAUUAUUCCACUCUUUCUUUCCUUUUCCUUUAUUGAAUUAAUUGAAUAUUUUAAUUUGAAUUCAGUUGACAGCAGUUGAAGUAAACUGGGGGUGGGAAGGAAUUGGGAGGAGGAUGUUGUGUGUUUCACGCCAAGGACUUCUGGAGGACCACGUAAUGAUUUCCACUCCUGCUGUGAGCUCUUCAGCAAAGCCCAGCAAGGCAAGGACAGACUUCGUAUCUUGAUGUUCUAAAUAAGGACACAGAGAGCUGUCUCAGACUGAUAUCGUCAAAAGAGCAAGUCAAUAACCAGAGCUAGGCUUCAGCCAUGAAACAAUUUGGACCAGACAUUGUGAAAUGCAGGAGCCAGCUUUCACAUCCAGCAAGUCUUGCCCUUACUCAAAUCUCUGGAAAUGUAUGUUUACAAAAAAAAAUGAGAUCUCUUCAAUACAAAAAAAAGACCUCAUCAAGUUGAUAAGGCAUUAAGCAGAAGGGACUAGUUGCAUAGAAAAACGCAGGAUCUGCAAAGGGAGUGUUUCACACCUUCUCGCUCCCCAGGAAAAUCUGAAAAUUAUGAGUUGUUGAAAUGAUGUGAUAAUUUGAUCUCUUAAUAAGUUAUUUCAGACUCUUUACAUGCAAAAAUAAGUGUGGAACCUCUUUAAGUAGAUCCUAUGGAAGGGAACUUCUGCAUGAGAAUGCCAGCCAAUAUUUCUCUGAUACGUCCCUUAGAAAAGCUAAAACCUUGACCACGAUUUUCUAUCACAGUCUAAUAACAUAAUUUUAUAUAUAAAACUAGCUGUGCCCAGCCACGUGUUGCUGUGGUGUUGUCUUCUAACGGGCAGCAAUUGGAUAAAAACUAUUAUUCCUCUCCCUAUAAUAAGGACUUUAUUUUUUUUCUUUUUGUUGUAUCAACCUAGAGCCGUGGAUGAUGGGUUGUGUUGUCAAAUUUCGAGGUUGAGGGGCCUGUAGUUUUGUUGUUUUGUCCGCUGCCCUGAUGCCAUUACUCUUUUAUAUAUAUAGAUGGAUCUUCUGCAUUUUAACUUUUGCAGAUUUGAUAAUUUAUACAUUUGAUUGUUACAUUCUUUCAGAGCAUCUCGAGGUCCUUCUCCAGACAUUAACCAUACAGCCAACUCCACUGGACAGUGACUAUAUGUUCAAUAUUUGGCGGAAGACCUAAAUAUUUCUUGAGAGGUGUCUUCUCAAGGGGUAAAAAGGUUUUUUGAUUCAUAAUUUUCCUACUCUCACUGAAGUCCGAGACUCCUGGCCCCUACAAAAGUGGGACCUCAACUAUACUUCGAUAUGUAGAAGAUGCAAGUCCACUUACAAAGAGAUAAGUACUCAAGUAAAUUCCAGUCCUAUUCUUCUCGGGUUCUUCAAUGACAGUUGAGGUUCUGAUAUCAGAGAAAAUCAACUCUUGAGUUUUAAUCCAAUCUAUGAGGGUUGAAUGAAAAGUAAUGCCUCCACCUUCGUAACUCCUCAACAGAUGACUGUCCUGGUCUGAGAAAGGUUCUGGCUUGUUCAGUAGACUCUCCUCUACCUUUAGUUCCAUUUGGCGGGAAGCCUUAUCAUUGAACGGUUGUGUUGUUAAAGUGCGAAGUAUGGAACCCUGCACAGACAGUCGGUCAAUGUGACUUAAUCAAUGUGCAGCCAUUGAAUUCUUGACAGCAGAAGGUGUGACCCCAAAGGAGAUUCAUCAGAGAAUGCAAGCUGUUUAUGUGGAUUGUCUUGAUGUGAGUCCUGUGCAUUGUUGGGCGAGUAAGUUUAAAGAUGUUGCGGUGGGAACAUCUGACUUGAGUGACAAACAAAGAGUUGGGCAUCCUGUGACAGCAACCACCAAGUUUCACAAGCAAAAGGUUGACAGAUUGAUUCAGGACGAUUGUUGUAUCACUCAGAGAGAAAUUUCAAGCAUAAUCGGCAUUUCACAAGAAUGUGUGGGUCACAUUAUUGCUUUGCUUGGCUAUCGGAAGAUCUGAGCACGAUGGGGACUGUGAGAUGCUGGUUGUGGAAACAGAGUGUUGACUUCUUCUGUGACAGCUUCAGAAAACUUGUUUGUUGUUGGCAGAAAUGUAUCCAGUUGUCUGGUGAUUAUGUGGAAAAGUGAAUAGUGGUAGUUAAAGAGCACAUUCUAAGGAUUAUCUCUGUGUUUAAUUUAUUAAAACAUUCCCAUCCAAACCCAAGUAACGAAGGUGGAGACAUUACUUUUCAUUCAACCCUUGUAUAAAGGAGAUAGUUAUGGUGUUCUAUUCCAAUAUAAUCAACAGACUUAUUAUCUCUUUUAAAGGUUGGACUAAAUUCCAGAAUGGGUUCACUGUCUCCCUGAUAUGUCAAUCACUAGUGAUUAUAAUAAUUUUAAUACAGUAGAGUCUCACUUAUCCAACAUAAACAGGCCGGCAGAAUGUUGGAUAAGUGAAUAUGUUGGAUAAUAAGGAGAGAUUAAGGAGAAGCCUAUUAAAUAUCAAAUUAGGUUAUGAUUUUACAAAUUAAGCACCAAAACAUCAUGUUAUACAACAAAUUUGACAGAAAAAGUAGUUCAAUAGGCAGUAAUGCUACGUAGUAAUUACUGUAUUUACGAAUUUAGCACCAAAAUAUCACGAUGUAUUGAAAACAUUGACUACAAAAAUGUGUUGGAUAAUCCAGAACGUUGGAUAAGUGAAUGUUGGAUAAGUGAGACUCUACUGUAAUAAUAAUUUUAUUUUUAUACCCUGCCCAUUCUCUCCGAAGGGACCCGGGGCGGCUUACAUGGGGCCAAGCCCAGACAUCAGACAAUAUAAAAACAAAGCAAUAAAACAAGUCAAUCAACAAUAAAAAAAAUCAUAAAUUAUUAUUGGAUUAUUGGAGUAGUUGGGAUGUAAAUGACUCUCCCUUCAUCUAGAUUUGGAAGAGAAUGGCUCAUUUCUUUUUGACUCUGUGAUGGUGCAUUUGUAAUCUCUUCGGUCAGCAAAAGGGCAAGUGUAAACAUUCCUUCAAUCUAGGAAUUAUUUUUUCAGACAACUCCCAGAAUCCAGCAGCCUGCAUUAUAGUCCAAAACAGAGAGAGAAAGUGAGGGAGGGAGAAAGGACGGCUUCCAAAAGUGGUGCCUCUGGGAACCUCGACAGAGCUUGGCUUCUGCCACUGAGGCCUGUGCCAAGCAGAGCUCAAUCCCAUGCCAAGAAUUUGUGCAACCUGUGUAAUUUAUGCAAAUGAAUAAUUUGCAUGUAUUUGCUUGGCAUAAUUCCGCCCGAUCCUGCUAAUGAUGGGGAGAAGCCAUAACCCCUGCCAGGCACUGAUUCCGCGACCCCAGGCUCUUUGUUCAUGAACCCACAGACCUUGGCCAAUGUCUACCAUUCCCAAACAUGAGGUCUGCCCACUUAUAUUUAGAAAGGGUAAGGGCGGUUUCUGGAUUUAUUUUAUUUUAUUUUUUGUGUGUUAGGAGCAACUUGAGUCUGAUAUUUGGAUUUGCAGCUGACAAUGGAAGCUCAGGUCGCUGCUGCCAGCAAACAGGCCUUUUAUCACCUACAACAAGCGAGGCAACUGGCACCCUAUCUAUCUGAUGAGGCUCUGGCAACAGUCAUCCAUGCCAUGGUCACGUCUAAGGCUGGACUAUUGCAACGCCCUGUAUGUUGGCCUUCCGAUGUCUAUGACCCGAAAGCUCCGUAUUGUUCAGAAUGCGGCAGCCAGGCUACGCACAAAAAACACCCAUGAAAUGCCACAUAACACCAGUGCUGCAGCAUCUGCAUUGGCUUCCAACUGAUUACCGUGGUCUAUAUAAGAUGCUAGUUCUGACCUUUAAAAUUCUUUACGGCCAGGACCCAUCGUACCUUAGGGACCGUCUCUCCUUCUCCCAUCAUCGGAGGUCGCAACGACCAUCCCAACGCGACUUACUUUAUAUACUGGGUCCUAGAGAAGUGCACUUGGAAAGGACCAGACGCAGAGCUUUUUCUAUUUCUGCCCCUGCCUUAUGGAAUGCCUUGCCGCCCUAGAUGAGAGCCAUACGUGAGUUAAUAACUUUAAUAAUAACUUUAUUUUUAUACCCCGCCCCAUCUCCCCGAAGGGACUCAGGGUGGCUUACAUGGGGCCUUGCCCGAUAAAACAAUCAAAUAUCAAAACACAGCAAUAAAACAGUUAUCCAAUAAAAACAUCAAUUACAGUAAAAACAACAUAAAACAUACAAUAUUAACACUGGAGACUAAUUCAUAGAACCCAGGCAAGGUGCAACAUGGGCUGAAAUGGGCCGAAAUGGGGAAGGUAAUUUCACAGUUGAAAUGGACAAAGUGCAAUAUAGCAUUGGCAACACCUCGAGAAUGGGGCUAUUAUAAAAUUAGGGCCUUUUACCCUAGCACUCAAGACCUGGCUCUUUACUAGAGCUUUUGAUCUAAGUUAAUUUUAUCAAUAUUUGUAUGUAUGUAUUUUUAUCCUUUACAAUUUUAUCUUGUAAAUCGCCUAGAGCAUCUUGGAUGGAGGGCGAUUAAUAAGUAAUUAAAUGAUGAUGACGAUGAUGAUGAUGAUGAUGAUGAGUCGCUUCUGGAGUGAGAGAAUUGGCCAUCUGCAAGGACGUUGCCCAGGGGACGCCCGGAUGUUUUUGAUGUUUUUUACAAUCCUUGUGGGAGGCUUCUUUCAUGUUCCCGCAUGGAGCUGGAGCUAAUAGAGGGAGCUCAUCCGCACUCUCCCCGGGUAGGAUUUGAACCUGGCAGCUUUCAGGUCAACAACCCAACCUUCAAGUCACUUAGUCCACUACGCUAUCCAGGGGCUUUGGUUUCUAGAUGCCACAGCCCUGAUACAAAUGUCUGCAUCUUUUCCUUUCCUAUCAAAGUGGAAGAAUCACAGAAUGCCCUCCCAGACAGCCGGCUGAGAAAUCAAUACUCCUCCAUUCUGACUAAACAGCUUGGAGCCGAUUCUCUGCAGAACUCUUCUUCCCUGAUUGCCAAUAAUGGAUGAGCUGUCCCCAUCUUCUGCUUUGCGAGGAGCGAAUGUGAGGGAGCUCCCUUGCCAGGAGGGCCUGGCAGCCGCAGUGGCUAACGUAACCACCACCCUCUCCGACUGUGCCAGCCCAAGCAAGGCUAUUUCUGAGUCAUGCCCAUCCCAAGAGCUCUCGGUGCAUGAGACGCCGGUGGGAGGUAUCAUUGAAGAAAGGCAGGCAGGGCACACAUUCAAGUGACCUAGAUUUUGCAGGCUGAGCUGAGCUGAGGCACUGUCUGCGGUAGAGGCAUGCAAAGCCAAAAGCAACACUCUGAGGAGGCUGCUUGCUGUCUCUUUGGAGGAAGACGAGGAGGAGGAGGAGGUGGUUUACUUACUUACUUACUUACUUAGGCGAUCCCUCGUAGUUUGAGGAUGAUUGUCUUCCAUCUUGGGUGUGUGUCCGUAGAUGGCUGGAGAGACCUAUUCUUGAUCCGCAUGUUCUCCCUUCCGCAGUGAGGACAUCGGUUUCCAGGGUUGGCUUGACGCUCCUUCCUCUUGGCACGUUUCUCCCUUAAGCCCUCCGUUCGUACCUCUUCGAACUCCACAGCACUGCUGGUCACAGCUGACCUCCAAUUAGAGCGCUCAAGGGCCAGGGCUUCCCAGUUCUCAGUGUCUAUGCCACAGUUUUUAAGGUUGGCUUUAAGCCCAUCUUUAAAUCUCUUUUCCUGCCCACCAACAUUACGUUUCCCGUUCUUGACUUAUAUAAUCAGUAGGAAUAAUAUUAUGUAUGACAUGAUGAGUAACUGUACCAAAGGCCAAUUUUCAUCCCCAUGUUGGAGGACCCUAUACUUAUGUUUUUUCUACUUCUGAACUGGAAAUGAUGUGACAUCACUUCCAGUUGAGUUCUCACCUGAUAUGGGGCAUUAUUGGAAGGGCGCAAGGGUCAUGAAGGUUGUAGGAAGCAGAAUUUGGAAGGUUGAAUAGUUUGGGUACUGCCCACCAACAUUAUGUUUCCCGUUCUUGAGUUCAGAAUAGAGCAACUGCUUUGGAGAUGGUGAUCGGGCAUUCGGACAACGUGGCCAGUCCAGCGGAGUUGAUGGCGUAGGAGCAACGUUUCAAUGCUGGUGGUCUUUGCUUCCUCAAGUAACAUUUGUCCGCCUGCCUUCCCAAGAGAUUUGCAGGAUUUUUCUAAGGCAACGCUGAUGGAAACGCUCCAGGAGUUGGGUGUGACAUCUGUAGACAGUCCACAUUUCGCAGGCGUAGAGCAGGGUUGGGAGGGCAAUGGCUUUCUAAACAAGACAUCUAUGGAUGUCCCAGUCAUCAAACACUCUCUGCUUCAUUCUGAAAAAUGCUGCACUCGCAGAGCUCAGGCGGUGUUGCAUUUCAGUGUUGAUGUUGACUUUUGUGGAGAGGUGGCUCCAAGGGAGCGGAAAUGGUCAACAUUUUCUAAUGUUACACCAUUAAGCUGUAUUCCUGGCAUUGCAGAGGGAUUAGCUGGUGCCUGUUGGAAGAGCACUUUGGUUUUCUCGAUGUUCAAUGAGAGGCCAAGCUUCUCGUAUGCUUCUGCGAAGGUGUUUAGAGUGGUUGGGGCAGAUUUCUCCAGCUGGCUUCUACUGCCCUUGCUGGACCCACCCAUAUUGUUCUCCCAUAGGAAUAAAGACAAAGAGGGGGAUUCAGGGGUAUCGGUUCAGAUCAGGGCCGGCCCUAGGUAAUUUUCAAGUGUAAGCAAACAGAAUUUUGGCACCUUCCCCCCCCCCCCCCCCAAACCAAUCACUGAAAAAUAAAAGCAUCGGAUAAGCGAAAAUGUUGGAUAAUAAAGAGGGAUUGGAACCCCGGUGGCAAAGUGUGUUAAAGCACUGAGCUGCUGAACUUGCAGAUCGAAAGGUCCCAGGUUCAAAUCCGGGGAGCGGAGUGAGCAGCCGCUGUUAGUUCCAGCUUCUGCCAACCUAGCAGUUCAAAAACAUGCCAAUGUGAGUAGAUCAAUAGGUACCGCUCCGGCGGGAAGGUAACGGCGCUCCAUGCAGUCAUGCCAGUGGCCACAUGACCUUGGAGGUGUCUACGGAUUAAAUGAUUUUGAAUAUUUAUAUACAACUGUAAUUUAAGAUAAUAAUAAGACUUUAAUAAGAUAAGACAGUCCAACUCUGAGUACCUAUAUACUCAAGUAUAAGCUGACCUGAAUAGAAGCCGGCCAGGACCCUCACUCGAUUAUAAGCCGAGGGGAGCUUUUUCAGCCCUAAAAAGGGGCUGAAAAACUAGGCUUAUACUCGAGUAUAUAAAGUAAUAGAACAGUCAAGCUGGCAUUCAAGCUGGGGCUGAAAAACUAGGCUUAUACUCGAGUAUAUAAAGUAAUAGAAUAGUCAAGCUGGCAUUCAAGCUGGGGCUGAAAAACUAGGCUUAUACUCGAGUAUAUAAAGUAAUAGAACAGUCAAGCUGGCAUUCAAGCUGGGGCUGAAAAACUAGGCUUAUACUCGAGUAUAUAAAGUAAUAGAACAGUCAAGCUGGCAUUCAAGCUGGGGCUGAAAAACUAGGCUUAUACUCGAGUAUAUAAAGUAAUAGAAUAGUCAAGCUGGCAUUCAAGCUGGGGCUGAAAAACUAGGCUUAUACUCGAGUAUAUAAAAUAAUAGAACAGUCAAGCUGGCAUUCAAGCUGGGGCUGAAAAACUAGGCUUAUACUCGAGUAUAUAAAGUAAUAAAAUAGUCAAGCUGGCAUUCAAGCUGGGGCUGAAAAACUAGGCUUAUACUCGAGUAUAUAAAGUAAUAGAACAGUCAAGCUGGCAUUCAAGCUGGGGCUGAAAAACUAGGCUUAUACUCGAGUAUAUAAAGUAAUAGAACAGUCAAGCUGGCAUUCAAGCUGGGGCUGAAAAACUAGGCUUAUACUCGAGUAUAUAAAGUAAUAGAACAGUCAAGCUGGCAUUCAAGCUGGGGCUGAAAAACUAGGCUUAUACUCGAGUAUAUAAAGUAAUAGAAUAGUCAAGCUGGCAUUCAAGCUGGGGCUGAAAAACUAGGCUUAUACUCGAGUAUAUAAAAUAAUAGAACAGUCAAGCUGGCAUUCAAGCUGGGGCUGAAAAACUAGGCUUAUACUCGAGUAUAUAAAGUAAUAAAAUAGUCAAGCUGGCAUUCAAGCUGGGGCUGAAAAACUAGGCUUAUACUCGAGUAUAUAAAGUAAUAGAACAGUCAAGCUGGCAUUCAAGCUGGGGCUGAAAAACUAGGCUUAUACUCGAGUAUAUAAAGUAAUAGAAUAGUCAAGCUGGCAUUCAAGCUGGGGCUGAAAAACUAGGCUUAUACUCGAGUAUAUAAAGUAAUAGAACAGUCAAGCUGGCAUUCAAGCUGGGGCUGAAAAACUAGGCUUAUACUCGAGUAUAUAAAGUAAUAGAAUAGUCAAGCUGGCAUUCAAGCUGGGGCUGAAAAACUAGGCUUAUACUCGAGUAUAAGUAAAAGUAAUAUAUAUAAGUAUAAGUAUAUAAUAUAUAUAUAACUUAUAUAAGUAUAAGUAAAGUAAUAGAACAGUCAAGCUGCUAUUAUAAGUGUCAGUAAUAGCAUCAUACAAGGGUUUUCUGUGCUCCUUUUGAGAAAUUCAGGUAAAGGAAAUCAUCAAUGGUAUGGUAUUGUCAAAAUGUUGCUGUUCUUGUUAUGUGCCUUCGAGUCGGUACUGACUUCUGGCAUCUUUGACUUAUGAGAUGCUCUCCAAAGGUUUUCUUGGCGAGAUUUGUUGAGUGGAGGUUUGACAUUGCCUUCCUGCUAGGCUGCCUUGUUCAGCAGAAACCAGGAGAUUUCAACCCUGGUCUCCCAGGGUCGGGGAGUGUGACACUCAAACCACUACAUCACGCUGGCUCUAUGAAUUAUCCAAAUAUUAUGCCUGAAAGAAGGUUUCCUGCAAUGAGUUUGAACCCUUGACCCCUUGGGACGGUGAGCCGAGUUGCCCGGAGGAAGGAAAGGAGGAGAUGGCUAUUUUAUUUAAUGCAAAACCUUUGCAGUACAGCGAUCCCUGGAGCCCGUACAGUCUCCUUUCUCGCAUCGACCACCACUGAAAAGGGGAAAUUAAGAAUUCCUGACACACAACAUAGUUAAGAAAGAAAAAAAGGGGGGAAGGAGGAGGAAGAAAGAGAGGCUGAAAGAAAGGAAGGAGAAGCUAGCUGUGACUGUGUGUUGAAAGAAAAUGUUAAUUUCGAUCUGGGAUGUACUGUAUAUACUCGAGUAUAAGCCUAGUUUUUCAGCCCUCUUUUUAAGACUGAAAAAGCCCCCCUUGGCUUAUACUCGGGUGAGGGUCCUGGUUGGCUUAUAUUUGGGUCAGCUUAUACUUGAGAAUAUAUGGUACAUUUAUUAUUUUUCUCUAUUAUUAUUGGUAUUAUUACAUUUAUUUAUUUAUUACAAUAUUUAUAUCCUGCCCUUCUCACCCAACAGGGGACUCAGGGCGGCUUACAAUAAAACACACAUAUAAAAACUGUACAAUACACUAUAAAUCAGUUAAAAAAUUAACUUACAUAAGACAUUCAUAAAACGCAUUAUAAAAUACAGAUAGGCGUGUUCAAGUUUAAAAGACUGGGUCUGUCAAUUGAGUUUAUUAUUUAUUAUUUUAUUAUUUAUUAUUUUUCAUUAUUUUUAUCAUUUAUUAUUUUUCUCUAUUAUUGUUGCUACUAUUACAUUUAUUUUACUCUAUUUUAUUAUUAAUAAUACAUUUAUUAUUUCACUCUGAUCUUAUUAUUAUUAUUAUUGUUGUUGCAUUUAUUCUUUUACUCUAUUAUUACAUGUAUUAUUUACUAUUCUGUAUUUAUUAUUAUUAUUAUUACAUGUAUUAUUUUACUCUAUUAUUAUUAAAAGGAUACAUAAGCACAUUUACAUUGAAGAAGAUGAGAAUAAUGAUUUGAUCAGAGUUGGACAGUCUUAUCUUAAAUUUGAGCUUUAUGUAAAUAUUCAAAAACAUUUAACCUACUGAUGCCUCAAUUCAUGUAAUUUUAUUGGUAUCUAUUUUUAUUUCUGAAAUUUACCACCCUUGGCUUAUACUGGAGUCAAUGUUUUCCCAGUUUUUUUGUGGUAAAAUUAGGUGCCUCGGCUUAUAUUCGGGUCGGCUUAUACUCGAGUAUAUACGGUAGUUGGGAUGUAAAUGACGCUUCCUUCAUCUAGAUUCGGAAGAGAAUGGCUCAUUUCAAGAGAAGGGCCGGGCUGUGGCGCAGCUGGCUAGUAACCAGCUGCAAUAAAUCACUACUGAUCGAGAGAGAGGUCAUGAGUUCAAAGCCCGGGUCGGGUUAAGCCCCCGACCAUUAAAUAGCCCGGCUUGCUGUUGACCUAUGCAGGCCUGAAAGACAGUUGCAUCUGUCAAGUAGGGAAAUUUAGGUACGCUUUAUGCGGGAGGCUAAUUUAACUAAUUUACAACACCAUAAAAACUGCAAGCAAAACACGAGGAAAGGAAUGAGGAAGUACAGCUACUAGUGGACGGUGAAGCAACAGCUCCCCCUGUGGCCGGAAUCGUGAAGCUGGAAAAAUGUUAAAUGCCUCUGUGUGUUUCUAUACUGUAUGUUGUUUGUCUGUUGGCACUGAAUGUUUGCCAUAUAUGUGUUCAUUGUAAUCUGCCCUGAGUCCCCUUCGGGAUGAGAAGGGCGGAAUAUAAAUACUGUAAAUAAAUUUUAAAAAAUUCUUUUUAA